Long non-coding RNA from Oncorhynchus tshawytscha (Chinook salmon), 2715 nucleotides. RefSeq lists it as uncharacterized. Lineage: Eukaryota; Metazoa; Chordata; Actinopteri; Salmoniformes; Salmonidae. The transcript is spliced from 3 exons. The record is from RefSeq and is a predicted model, not a curated record.
CAUUUUGAUUUGUUACAAUGUGAUUAUUGUCAUUAUUAGCUGUCUGUAGCAUUUCAUUUAAUUAAUUGCGCCUGAGUGGGGUGUGUUUGUGUAGACUUUUCCUUUAAAAGCAAAUACAGAAUUGAACUCUGUACAAUUUUAAAGUGUGUGUGUGUGAGAAUGCAUUCAUACGUGUUUGUGUGUGCAUGUGUUCGCAUGCAUCUGUUUUCUCUCACACACACACACACACACACACACAAUCCAUUUUCAUUGCUGCAGUAAUAACAUCUGCCAGGCUGGAGAUAAUACAUCUAAGUCAGAUCAAUACUAUCCUGUUAUGAGCACUGAAAUACUGCGAUGAAGGACGGACCUGCUACUCAAUACAAUACUAUACUAUCCUGUUAUGAGUACUGAAAUACUGUGAUGAAGGACGGACCUGCUACUCAAUACAAUACAUUACUAUUCUGUUAUGAGCACUGAAAUACUGCGAUGAAGAAUGGACCUGCUACUCAAUACAAUACUAUCCUGUUAUGAGUACUGAAAUAGUGUCUGAUGAAGGAUGGACCUGUUACACAAUACAAUACUAUACUGUUAUGAGCACUGAAAUACUGUGAUGAAGGAUUGACCUGCUACUCAAUACAAUACAAUACAAUACUAUCCUGUUAUGAGCACUGAAAUACUGACUGAUGAAGGAUGGACCUGUUACUCAAUACAAUACAUUACAAUACUAUCCUGUUAUGAGUACUGAAAUAGUGUCUGAUGAAGGAUGGACCUGUUACUCAUUACAAUACUAUACUGUUAUGAGCACUGAAAUACUGACUGAUGAAGGAUGGACCUGUUACUCAAUACAAUACUAUACUGUUAUGAGCACUGAAAUACUGACUGAUGAAGGAUGGACCUGUUACUCAAUACAAUACAUUACAAUACUAUCCUGUUAUGAGUACUGAAAUAGUGUCUGAUGAAGGAUGGACCUGUUACUCAUUACAAUACUAUACUGUUAUGAGCACUGAAAUAUUUAUUGGCCUAUUUUUGGGUAGGCUAAUAAAAGGUGAAAGGUAGGCUAAUACCUAGGUAGGCUAAUAAAAGGUGAAAGGUAGGCUAAUACCUAGGUAGGCUAAUAAAAGGUGAAAGGUAGGCUAAUACCUAGGUAGGCUAAUAAAAGGUGAAAGGUAGGCUAAUACCUAGGUAGGCUAAUAAAAGGUGAAAGGUAGGUUAAUAUCUUGGUAGGCUAAUAAAAGGUGAAAGGUAGGCUAAUAUCUAGGUAGGCUAAUAAAAGGUGAAAGGUAGGCUAAUAUCUAGGUAGGCUAAUAAAAGGUGAAAGGUAGGCUAAUAUCUAGGUAGGCUAAUAAAAGGUGAAAGGUAGGCUAAUAUCUAGGUAGGCUAAUAAAAGGUGAAAGGUAGGCUAAUAUCUAGGUAGGCUAAUAAAAGGUGAAAGGUAGGUUAAUAUCUUGGUAGGCUAAUAAAAGGUGAAAGGUAGGCUAAUAUCUAGGUAGGCUAAUAAAAGGUGAAAGGUAGGCUAAUAUCUAGGCUAAUAUCUAGGUAGGCUAAUAAAAGGUGAAAGGUAGGCUAAUAUCUAGGUAGGCUAAUAAAAGGUGAAAGGUAGGCUAAUAUCUAGGUAGGCUAAUAAAAGGUGAAAGGUAGGCUAAUAUCUAGGUAGGCUAAUAAAAGGUGAAAGGUAGGCUAAUAUCUAGGUAGGCUAAUAAAAGGUGAAAGGUAGGUUAAUAUCUUGGUAGGCUAAUAAAAGGUGAAAGGUAGGCUAAUAUCUAGGUAGGCUAAUAAAAGGUGAAAGGUAGGUUAAUAUCUUGGUAGGCUAAUAAAAGGUGAAAGGUAGGCUAAUAUCUAGGUAGGCUAAUAAAAGGUGAAAGGUAGGCUAAUAUCUAGGUAGGCUAAUAAAAGGUGAAAGGUAGGCUAAUAUCUAGGUCGGCUAAUAAAAGGUGAAAGGUUCAGUUAGCAUCCAGGCGUUUAUGACCAGGUUGUAGAACGGUGGAUAGUUCAGGUUCUGCUCCGUUAUACCAGGGCAGCAGAUGAUUCCACAGAAUAACAUGGUCUGUAGGUGUUCUUUGGACAGUAGUGGUGGUGUUUUGUCAGGAGGAAUUCAGCUCUGCUUUAGUUUUUGUCAGAACUGAUAGCCUGGUCCCAGAUCUGUUUGUGCUAUAUAGUCGGCUCCUAUCUUCGCAUGGUCUCCUACGGUUCUACAGCAUAAACAAGUCUGGGACCAGGCUAGGAGUUGUUCCUGGGCCUGAGAAAAAGAACGCCCCUAGAGCCAAGGAUAUGGAACUGUCCUUGUUGAAGGAAUGUCACUGUCCUGGCUGUUCUUCUAAAGCAGAGCAUGUGAGCAGAGUUGAGCGGUGUGAAAUCCAGCUCCUCAUGGAGAGCUGCUUGUGCUCUUCACGUCCUUUCCAUCCGCUCCGCUAAAAACCGCUCCUCGCUCACAGGAAAAUACUGCUGCUCCAAAUUCACUCCAUUCAUUCAACUCACAAUUUAACUAUUUUUUCGGAAUGUUAGGUCCUAUUUACCUGGACCUACCAUUCGGUUUUAAAGUAUUGAAACCAAACCAUAUGAUUUGAAUGAAAAUGAUUAUAAUGAAAAACAUGAAAAGGUGAAUGUAAGAAGCGCUCAUCAUUUCAAAUCGGCCACAUGUCAGAUUAAACAACGCAAAAACAAUCUUAUUAAACAGCAUAUAACCACUCUAAAUAGGCCACAUGUCAUAUUAAACAGCAUAUAACCACUCUAAAU